CGUGGAUAACCUGCCCUUGGGUCCGGCAUAACCCCGGGAAACUGGGGAUAAUUCCGGAUAACGCACAUAUGCUGGAAUGCUUUUUGCGUAAAAUGGAUUCGUCUGCCCAAGGAUGGGUCUGCGGCCUAUCAGGUAGUAGUGGGUGUAAUGUACCUACUAGCCUACGACGGGUACGGGUUGUGAGAGCAAGAGCCCGGAGAUGGAUUCUGAGACAUGAAUCCAGGCCCUACGGGGCGCAGCAGGCGCGAAAACUUUACAAUGCGGGAAACCGUGAUAAGGGGACACCGAGUGCCAGCAUCCUAUGCUGGCUGUCCGGGUGUGUAAAAUACACCUGUUAGCAAGGGCCGGGCAAGACCGGUGCCAGCCGCCGCGGUAACACCGGCGGCCCGAGUGGUGAUCGUGAUUAUUGGGUCUAAAGGGUCCGUAGCCGGUUUGGUCAGUCCUCCGGGAAAUCUGACAGCUCAACUGUUAGGCUAUCGGAGGAUACUGCCAGACUUGGAACCGGGAGAGGUAAGAGGUACUACAGGGGUAGGAGUGGAAUCUUGUAAUCCCUGUGGGACCACCUGUGGCGAAGGCGUCUUACCAGAACGGGUUCGACGGUGAGGGACGAAAGCUGGGGGCACGAACCGGAUUAGAUACCCGGGUAGUCCCAGCCGUAACCGAUGCUCGCUAGGUGUCAGGCAUGGCGCGACCGUGUCUGGUGCCGCAGGGAAGCCGUGAAGCGAGCCACCUGGGAAGUACGGCCGCAAGGCUGAAACUUAA
RNAcentral lists this ribosomal RNA (762 nucleotides) under uncultured archaeon. RNAcentral describes it as "bacterial SSU rRNA". It matches the Rfam family "Archaeal small subunit ribosomal RNA", at positions 99 to 859 of the family's 1478-position model. The record is from RNAcentral.